GCAAGGGUGACUGCGUACCUUUUGUAUAAUGGGUCAGCGACUUACAUUCAGUGGCGAGGUUAACCGAAUAGGGUAGCCGCAGGGAAACCGAGUCCGAAUAGGGCGAUUCAGUCGCUGGGUGUAGACCCGAAACCAAGUGAUCUAUCCAUGGCCAGGAUGAAGGCACCGUAACAGGUGCUGGAGGUCCGAACCGACUAGUGUUGCAAAACUAGCGGAUGAGCUGUGGAUAGGGGUGAAAGGCUAAACAAACUUGGAAAUAGCUGGUUCUCUCCGAAAACUAUUUAGGUAGUGCCUCAAGUAUUACCAUCGGGGGUAGAGCACUGUUAUGGCUAGGGGGUCAUGGCGACUUACCAAACCAUUGCAAACUCCGAAUACCGAUGAGUACAGCUUGGGAGACAGAGCACCGGGUGCUAACGUCCGGACUCAAGAGGGAAACAACCCAGACCGCCAGCUAAGGUCCCCAAAAUUGGCUAAGUGGGAAACGAAGUGGGAAGGCUAAAACAGUCAGGAUGUUGGCUUAGAAGCAGCCAUCAUUUAAAGAAAGCGUAAUAGCUCACUGAUCGAGUCGUCCUGCGCGGAAGAUGUAACGGGGCUAAGCCAGUUACCGAAGCUGCGGAUGUGCAAUUUAUUGCAAGUGGUAGGAGAGCGUUCUGUAAGCCUGUGAAGGUGGGUUGUGAAGCCUGCUGGAGGUAUCAGAAGUGCGAAUGCUGACAUGAGUAGCGUUAAAGGGGGUGAAAAGCCCCCUCGCCGAAAGCGCAAGGUUUCCUACGCAACGUUCAUCGGCGUAGGGUGAGUCGGCCCCUAAGGCGAGGCAGAGAUGCGUAGCUGAUGGGAAACAGGUCAAUAUUCCUGUACCGAUCAAUAGUGCGAUGUGGGGACGGAGAAGGUUAGCUCAGCCGGGUGUUGGAUGUCCCGGUUCAAGCCUGUAGUCGUGCCUGGUAGGCAAAUCCGCCGGGCUUAGAUGAGGGGUGAUAACGAGUCUGCUUGCAGACGAAGUGAGUGAUACCCUGCUUCCAGGAAAAGCCACUAAGCUUCAGCUAUUGACGACCGUACCGCAAACCGACACUGGUGCGCGAGAUGAGUAUUCUAAGGCGCUUGAGAGAACUCAGGAGAAGGAACUCGGCAAA
This 1127-nucleotide non-coding RNA is filed under the name Reticulomyxa filosa. Its description in RNAcentral is "Bacterial large subunit ribosomal RNA". It matches the Rfam family "Bacterial large subunit ribosomal RNA", at positions 587 to 1721 of the family's 2925-position model. The record is from Rfam by way of RNAcentral. Lineage: Eukaryota; Foraminifera; Reticulomyxidae.